AUACGGAGGAUCCGAGCGUUAUCCGGAUUUAUUGGGUUUAAAGGGUGCGCAGGCGGCCAUUUAAGUCAGCGGUUAAAUCGUGGGGCUCAACCCCAUUCUGCCGUUGAUACUGGGUGGCUUGAUUGCGGUCGAGGUUGGCGGAAUUCGUUGUGUAGCGGUGGAAUGCAUAGAUAUGACGAAGAACACCGAUUGCGUAGGCAGCUGACCAGACCGCAAAUGACGCUCAUGCACGAAAGUGCGGGGAUCGAACAGGAUUAGAUACCCUGGUAGUCCGCACAGUAAACGAUGAAUACUUGUUUUCGGCGAUAUAAUGUCGGAGGCAAAGCGAAAGCGAUAAGUAUUCCACCUGGGGAGUACGCCGGCAACGGUGAAACUUAAAGGAAUUGGCGGGG
This 392-nucleotide ribosomal RNA is filed under the name uncultured bacterium. RNAcentral's name for it is "partial 16S ribosomal RNA". It matches the Rfam family "Bacterial small subunit ribosomal RNA", at positions 523 to 918 of the family's 1533-position model. The record is from RNAcentral.